UUCAUCCCCACAUAGGCCCACUCCACAAGGACCCCAAUGAAGGAGGCUCGUGUUGACGGCGAGCCAGAAGGGGGCCCUGCAGGCAUUCUUCCAGGAGAACCCUUACCUUGGCAUCUCUGCCAGAGAACACCUGGACCGGGAGCUGGCCAUCACCGAGUCCAGAAUCCAGUGGAGAGGAAGGUUGUACAUGGGUCCAUUUGUGAGGAGAAUGACACCCGUUUCCAGUGUCUUCUCGGGUCAGUCAAAAUCUCCUCAGCACCCUACAAGUGACUGCAGCAGGAACUCCAUUGUCUGCCCAUGCCGACGAACAAAGAAGAAAUGACUCUUGUCCCCACACCGUCUGUUGUGUGUUUCGCAACAGCUCCCGCUCCUUGGGUCUGUUUCCAAAACCAGCGAACAAGACAGCUAAGGCAGAGCCACCAACUGGGCUCCACAAUUCCCCAAGGAGAAGGACCACAGCCUGGAAAGGAACAGCGUGAACAGGACAGUCACCUCCAGGUGACUCCUCAGUAUCCAAGAAGGGUCUCUUCCUGAGCUGCUACUUGACACAGGAAUGUGUCUCUGUGUGCUUACCAGGCAGUAGCAAAACCUGAGGAAGGGCACCAAGCUCUUCCCUCAGGCUAGAGCCACCCUAGUGACCUAGGAUGGCGAUGUUGUGCCUGCCAUUCCUGGACAGGCGGCAGGCGAGCAAUUCUGGGCCCCGAGGGAUCUGGGUCUUCCUGUCUUAAACCUGCUAGCCAGGACUACAGGCCUCUUCUUCCAUCAACACAACAUUGUUAUCCAAACACUGGCUUCUGGGGGUAGGUACAGGCUCUGGCUCCUUGGCCUCAGGGAAUGAGUGGUUAUGAAGACAGAGAACAUGGAGAAAAGCUCACACACACAGACAGACACACACACACACACAGAGGAAGUCACACGCCAUCACACACACCCUGACACCCACUUCUGUCUCCACACUGGCUGUGCUAUUAGCAUCCAUGCCCUCCUCCAAACUUCUUCUCUCUUUAGGUCGAGUCCCAAAGGAAGGCA
Canis lupus familiaris (dog) is the source of this 1029-nucleotide long non-coding RNA. RefSeq lists it as uncharacterized. NCBI's taxonomy places the organism in Eukaryota, Metazoa, Chordata, Mammalia, Carnivora, Canidae. The transcript has 3 exons. The record is from RefSeq and is a predicted model, not a curated record.